AUAAUGAUACUCCAACGAUGGUGUUGCCCGGACGGAUGUCGGGGAGGUGAGAGUCCUGUGA
This 61-nucleotide non-coding RNA is filed under the name unclassified sequences. RNAcentral describes it as "pemK RNA". It matches the Rfam family "pemK RNA". The record is from RNAcentral.